RNAcentral lists this ribosomal RNA (433 nucleotides) under uncultured bacterium. RNAcentral describes it as "partial 16S ribosomal RNA". It matches the Rfam family "Bacterial small subunit ribosomal RNA", at positions 29 to 507 of the family's 1533-position model. The record is from RNAcentral.
AACGAACGCUGGCGGCAUGCCUAACACAUGCAAGUCGAACGAGACCUUCGGGUCUGGUGGCCCACGGGGGCGUACUGCGUGGGAACCUGCGCUUAGGUUCGGAAUAACUCCCCGAAAGGGGUACUAAUACCGGAAAAUGUCUUCCGAUCAAAGAUUUAUGGGCUGUGGAUGGGCCCGCGUUGUAUUAGCUAUGUGGUAGGGUAAAAGUCUACCACGGCUACGAUCCGUAGCUGGUCGGAGAGGAUGACCAGCGACACUGGGACACGGACACGGCCCAGACUCGUGAGAGAAGUAGCAGUGGGUAAUAAUGGACUAUGGGCGAGAGCCAGAGCCAGCAAGGCCGGGAGAGUGAUGAAGGCCUUAGAGUUGGAAAGCUCGGGUAACCAGGAUGAUAAUGACAGUACCGGGAGAAUAAGCGCCGGCUAACUCCGUG